GGACCGGUAGCUUAGUCCGGUUUAAAGCGCCUCCCUGUCACGGAGGAGAUCACGAGUUCGAAUCUCGUCCGGUCCGCCA
This 79-nucleotide transfer RNA is filed under the name Candidatus Nealsonbacteria bacterium CG07_land_8_20_14_0_80_40_10. Its description in RNAcentral is "tRNA-Asp". It matches the Rfam family "tRNA". From Rfam's summary of the family: Transfer RNA (tRNA) molecules are approximately 80 nucleotides in length. Lineage: Bacteria; Candidatus Nealsoniibacteriota. The record is from RNAcentral. RNAcentral also lists the same sequence under 2 other names.